RNAcentral lists this ribosomal RNA (433 nucleotides) under uncultured bacterium. RNAcentral's name for it is "partial 16S ribosomal RNA". It matches the Rfam family "Bacterial small subunit ribosomal RNA", at positions 29 to 507 of the family's 1533-position model. The record is from RNAcentral.
AACGAACGCUGGCGGCAUGCCUAACACAUGCAAGUCGAACGAGUCCUUCGGGUCUAGUGGCGCACGGGUGCGUAACGCGUGGGAACCUGCCCUUAGGUUCACAAUAACUCACCGUACGGGGUGCUAAUACCGGAUAAUGUCUACGGGCCAAAAAUUUAUCGCCUUUGGUUGUGCCCGCGUUGGAUUAGCUAGUUGGUAUGGUCAAAGCCUACGAAGGCGACGAUCCAUAGCUGGUCUGCGAGGAUGAGCAGCCACACUGGGGCUGAGACACGGCCCAGACUCUUACGGGAGGCAGGAGUGUGGAAUAGUGGACAAUGGGGGAAGUCAUGAUGCAGCAAGGCCGCGUGAGUGAUGAAGGCAGGAGAGUUGUAAAGCGCUUGUAACCGAGAUGAUAAUGACGGUACCGGGAGAAUAAGCCCCGGCUAACUCCGUG